UACGGGGGGGGCAAGCGUUGUUCGGAAUUACUGGGCGUAAAGGGCUCGUAGGCGGCCAACUAAGUCGGAUGUGAAAUCCCCAGGCUCAACCUGGGAACUGCAUCCGAUACUGGAUGGCUUGAAUCCGGGAGAGGGAUGCAGAAUUCCAGGUGUAGCGGUGAAAUGCGCAGAUAUCAGGAGGAACACCGGUGGCGAAGGCGGGUCUCUGGGCCGAAACUGACGCUGAGGAGCGAAAGCGUGGGGAGCGAACAGG
Molecule: ribosomal RNA, 253 nt
Filed under: uncultured bacterium
Lineage: Bacteria
Description: partial 16S ribosomal RNA
Rfam family: Bacterial small subunit ribosomal RNA
Source: RNAcentral